CCAAGCAUUGUAACCAUAGUUAAAGAUCCUUAAAAAAUUUUAAGACCGUCCCAUUUCCCGUGGGAAAUAAUUUCAAUUUUGAAAUAAAAAAAAAUUGAUACAAGCAACCCUGAUUAGAUAAGUUAAAAUGGGAAUUCAAAAAAUAAAAAGACUUAGAUUUAAGUGCCGUGGUACACUGAGGGAAAAAUCCAAUGUAAAAUUUAAUAUAUAACAAUUUAAACAAGUUUUGAAAUUUUUAAUCAGACUUUAGUUGCAGUUUAUCACACUAAUUUUCCACAGUAAAAUGUUAUAUGAUUAAAACUUUGAACUAAUGUCGUUCUACUUUGAUUUUGAAAUAAUCGUCUUCAACGCAAAAUGAUUACGAAAAAUAGUUAAAAUAAAAUUGGUUUUCGUUGAUUUCAAGUUGUUUUUUCUCUCAGUGUAUUUCUUCGAAAAUUAGUUGGCUAUAAUUUUUUUCACAUAGAAUCGUUUUUCUAUUUCUUUCAACUUCAAUUUUCCGUCAAUUCAAACUUUGGAAAUUAAUUUUUUUUAAUCGAUAGAAAAAUAUGAAACGAACUUUCAUUGCCUAAAAAAAAAACAAUCCCUUCAAAAUGCGGAAACAAGAAAACAUAUAGGUACAUAUAGAGAGUUGUAGGUAUCAGAAAGCUUAUGUAGGAGGACAAAAAUUCAACUGUUGAAAUCAAAUGUCAAUUCUAGGCUGUUAGUCGCACUUGAAAAACUAUACUUGCCAUCCCAAGGAAUCAGUAAUUUCACUGCCCCCUAUAUCUAAUCGUGUAUUUGUUGAGCGAGCAAGGAAUCCAUAGAAAAUAUUAUAAAAAGAAGUGCUAGACAAACGCUUUCGACAACGAUUCCGUUGGAACCAAAAAUAACCACUCCAACACGUUCACACAAAAAAAUUGUGACGAAUCUAAAAUGUAUAUCUGAUAAGGAAAACCGCAAGCAUAACCACGCAGAAGCAAAUAAGGAAGGAACUAAAUAGAUCUGAAAACCUUAAGACAAACUCCUAAGUAGGCAAGCAUGUACAAAAUAUAAUAUUGUUGUUUAUCAACUUGAAAAAACUUAAACCAAAAUUUUGACCUUGGACUAAAAAAAAAACAAAAAUUCAAGGAUAUGGACCUGCUUUGUUAGCCUAUUAUUGAAGGUAAAGAAAUAACCUUCCUUAAAAGUAUACUUGCACAUUUGUUAACAUUAAUAAUAACACUGUGAUAGUUCAAAAAACCGACAGAGGGCUCUUAUGUCUACUAAAGAUAAUUCGAGUAUGCUGAACACGAUGGCGUUCUUAGUUUUUCUGGAUUAGGUCAAAUAAGAAAGAUUUUUGCGUUUGAAAUUUUGUUUGCACAUGCCAAAACUGAGGGUAUAAAACACCAUAUAUUUUCCAAUUUUUGAUUUUUAUCGAUAAAAAAAUGAUGGAAAAUCUAUUUUUUUGGAAGUAUUAUUCGUAAAAAUAGUUAUUUGAAAAAAAAUCUGUCAAAUAACUAUUUAAAUCAUUAUUUUUUGGCAAAAAAACGUCGAUUUUUCUUCAAUUUUUCUUACAUUUUUUAACUAUAAAGGUACAAAUGUAUGCGAAAACUCAACAAUUUUUUGUACACACCUUGUAUGUGUUAGUACUCUGGAAUAUUAUACAUAUGUAGAUGUAGGUAUUUAAUUAAAAAAUCAGGCAUGGUAUCAAUAUUUUUAUUUAAUUUUUGUUUAAGUUCAAAAAAUCAUUUUUCUUUCAAUUUGUUUUAAAAUUAAAACAUAUUUACUAUUACUUCCAUCUGCAUUAUAUGAGCUUACAUACACAACACAUAAUAUAUUUGUCACAGUCCCCGUUUAACUGAAGAAAAUAUUUAAAGAUCAGAAACGUGUUUCAGAUAAGCGGGUUUUUUUCUUAAGAGGGUUUCUCUUAAGCGGGUUUUUAUGCUACUUGAGCCCAUAGGCGUUUUGCCCCCACUUCCCCUACAUAUGUAUUGCAUUUAAACUUUUUGUAAUUUUUUUAUUUUAUAAACUUAAAAAUUAAAAAAAAAAAAACAGUGUUUUACUGCUACUUUUUCACUCUUAAGCUUAACCAA
Episyrphus balteatus (marmalade hoverfly) is the source of this 2051-nucleotide long non-coding RNA. RefSeq lists it as uncharacterized. NCBI's taxonomy places the organism in Eukaryota, Metazoa, Arthropoda, Insecta, Diptera, Syrphidae. The transcript has 2 exons. The record is from RefSeq and is a predicted model, not a curated record.